Molecule: long non-coding RNA, 943 nt
Organism: Platichthys flesus (European flounder)
Lineage: Eukaryota; Metazoa; Chordata; Actinopteri; Pleuronectiformes; Pleuronectidae
Exons: 7
Source: RefSeq, a predicted model, not a curated record
UACACAUUUUACCAUAUUUUCAUUGUAAUUCUUAAUUUUGCAACCAGUAAAAAGAAAAGUAUUUAGUUGGAUAACUACGUGUAGAUUCUUGGGUCGGAGAUUGUCUCUUUUUAGCGGCAUAUAACGGGAAUGGAAAAUGUGUGAUGGAGAACGUCAUGUCGCUGCCCUGAAGGAGAAGAGGAGCUCCGUGGUGGAUCAGCUGAAGCAGCUCCAGAGACAGAGCUCAUUGUCCAGAUGUUUGAAGAUCCAGAGACCACACGGCAGAUGGAGUCCACAAGAGACGGGAGGAUGCUGUUCGACUACCUGUCAGAGAAACACCAUGGACAUACAAGGAAGACUGUGAGUCGUCUACUUGAUCACUGCAAGUUCAUGACCUGCAGUCUCUGGUUAAUUGUCAAGCAGGAAGUUACCUGACAGUGACAGUGAGUCACUCCAGUAGAGGACCUGGCUCAUCCACUGGUCCCUCUUCAUCUUCUUCAACCAUCCCAAAGGCUGAGACAAUAUCAUCGAGCUCUUCCUCUACCAGCCUCGUCUGUUAGUUAGGUGGUGGAAGGAUGUGGUAUGAGUCAGGGAAGAACCCACUGAAUCUGGGUGUGGAUCCAAAUGUGGCUUCCUAAUGGGACUGUUGGACCCUGACAGAGAUUCUCGUGAACGAUGGCCUUGAGGACUUCACUGAAAACACCCGUCUCUUCAUCUUUGAGAUCUUCAGUCGGAUUCAUCAGUUCAUGAGCAUCCGGUGGAGGAAACAGACUCACGGAGUGCUGCCAGACGAGCUCCACAUGACGCCCGAGGAGGCGGAGCGGUGGAUCCUCAAACUCAUCCCAAACGCCAGGCUCGAUGCCGAGAUGGACUCCAAGCUGGUGAGGCGCUGCAUUCACUGAUCCACCUUAAGUCAGACAGGCUUCAAGUCCCUGAUCCACACGUAAUCUCACCAGACGACUGA